This is a long non-coding RNA of Sphaeramia orbicularis (orbiculate cardinalfish), 1931 nucleotides long. RefSeq lists it as uncharacterized. The transcript is spliced from 2 exons. The record is from RefSeq and is a predicted model, not a curated record. Lineage: Eukaryota; Metazoa; Chordata; Actinopteri; Kurtiformes; Apogonidae.
GUUUGAUGGUUUGCAGCUGAUUCCAAGAGCUGUUUGUGUUUACGAAUGAUCAAAAUGCACAUGUAUUCUGCUCUGCUGCUCUGCUGAAGUGUACGUGAAGCGUGGACGCUGUGGCUCAGCGGUGGAGCGUUGUGCCGAAGCAGCGCUCGCCGGUCAACUGAGGACAAAUGAAUGUAUUUUAACAAGCAGGACUAAAUAAAACAGUUCACUCCAGGGUGGAAGUGUUAAUGGGAAACACAAGAGAGCCAUCAUCAUCUUUAUCCUCAUCACCAUCAUCAUUAAGUCCAUUCCUUUCCUUCAUUGUAUUUGACAUAAUGUGCUGAUGCUGAUCUGUAGUGCUCAUCUGGGACCUGCCCCAGGGAGAAAAACUGUUUCGACAGACACUCCCCGCGAGAGCAGAGAUGUGCGUCACCUUGGGCCUACAUGUUUUGUUUUUUUUUUAUUUGUUUUUUUUUUAUUUUCCAGCACCUCAAAGCCUCUCCUUUUAUUCUCUGUCUCAUCUCAUCCACAUUUUAAUAUCAAUCUCAGUGGACUCCAUUAGUGCAGCACUUCUUUGAGAGUGUUAAUUUGUUUUGUCAAAAGCUUUGUUUAUCCCAGAUUAAUAUCUCAAUAAACAGAGGAGUACUGUACGGUGGUAAAUGAUCAUGAUUAUACAGUAGAAAGUCUGCGGCCCACGCUGUCGGACGCAGACUCUCACAAUGGGAGUUUCUCCACCAUUCAAAGCCCUCCAAACCUUUGAUUACAAUAACACCGUGGGUACUAAUUUACCGCAGUGAUCUCACCCCCACUCACUUUUAUGGCUCUUGAUUUUUUUUUCUGUCUCUGUCUGUAAACACAUUUCCCAUUUCACACUGAUUGCAAGCUUGACAUGCACGUGCACAUGGAGCAGUUGGGUGGGAAAUUGUUUGAAAAGGAGGGAUGCCCAACCUUUGACACAGUGCCGCCUCACCUCUGCAGCUUAAAGGGAACUGCAGCUACUGUUCGCUCUAUCAUUACACAGCAGAGGUCCCAGCAGGCCUAGAGUCUGUUCACUCACACUUGACCCUUUCACACACAGGAACCUUUUUUAACCGGUUAUUUGAGUGGCCCCUAUCAUAUCAGUAGGAGGUGGGAUGUGUGAGUGAAACGGCUAUAGCGGACGAGCAAUAGGGUCAUUAUGUCUCCGAGGAUGGGCCCCAGAAGGAACAGAGCAGGGACAACAUCAGCUGCGAUGUCAGAAAUGUCACCAAUUCAUAGCCAUAGGCAGUUCAGAGCCGGGUGGGUGGUGGAUGGUGGGGGGUGGGAGUGGGGAGGGGGGGGCUGCUAGUAAGGCAGAGACUGCAGUGAGACUGGAUCAGGCGAUAAGGAGAUGGAUGUGGCGCUUUUUGCUUUGUUUCAGAUGGCUUUCCGUUGGUGGUUUGCAGUUUAGAGGUGAUCACAUUAUGGUUCAAAUAGAUCAGGCUGGCUUCUCACAUCUCAAGUUCACUCAGAGAAUAAAAAAGAAAUCUGCUUGUAGUGGAACAAAGAUAAUGUGUGUUGGGUGUCUUUUAAGAAAAAUAAAUAAAUAAAUAAAAAAUGUGAAAAUGAGUUCACUGCCGCGUCAGCUGAUUAAAAGUGGAUUUUUAGAGCGCUAACAAAAUGUGACGGGAUUUUCCUAUAGAGAUUUUUAAAAUAUAAACAAUAAUAAAGUAGUACUAUUUUGUUAUUGGUCUCUUGUUACGUGUCCACAUUACUACUAUACAGUUCCUAUAGAGUAGUUUUAAGAAUAUGUAGGGUUAUGGCAUAAACCUAGUCAUGAGGAUUGUGCUGUUUCUCUUUUUUGUGUUAAAUAUGUACCCAAGAAGCUGUGUCAGCAGUUCUUUGAUGCACAGGGUGGGACCACUGGUAGAGGGGCUUUAAAGUAGGAUGGGCCCUCCAAAUGCUCAACCCUCAAGGCCCGUUCUACAUAAAAA